RNAcentral lists this ribosomal RNA (234 nucleotides) under Vibrio parahaemolyticus. RNAcentral describes it as "partial 23S ribosomal RNA". It matches the Rfam family "Bacterial large subunit ribosomal RNA", at positions 2697 to 2925 of the family's 2925-position model. Lineage: Bacteria; Pseudomonadati; Pseudomonadota; Gammaproteobacteria; Vibrionales; Vibrionaceae. The record is from RNAcentral.
GUGGACGAACCUCUGGUGUUCGGGUUGUGUCGCCAGACGCAUUGCCCGGUAGCUAAGUUCGGAAUCGAUAACCGCUGAAAGCAUCUAAGCGGGAAGCGAGCCCUGAGAUGAGUCUUCCCUGAUACUUUAAGUAUCCUAAAGGGUUGUCGGAGACUACGACGUUGAUAGGUCAGGUGUGUAAGUGCUGUGAGGCAUUGAGCUAACUGAUACUAAUUGCCCGUGAGGCUUAACCAU